This is a long non-coding RNA of Hordeum vulgare subsp. vulgare (domesticated barley), 419 nucleotides long. RefSeq lists it as uncharacterized. The record is from RefSeq and is a predicted model, not a curated record. The transcript is spliced from 2 exons. NCBI's taxonomy places the organism in Eukaryota, Viridiplantae, Streptophyta, Magnoliopsida, Poales, Poaceae.
CUCAAGGAACGCAACUUUAGCUUCUCGGGUGAUGUUCCUGGUUCUCUCUAUGAUGAAUCUGAUGUGCCUCACCAUGCCGAAGAUGUCAAUAUGGGAGGUUUAAAUGGGAUAUGGUGUAGAAGAAGUAAAUAAAAGAUGUAAGCACCUUAUACUGAACACAACAGCAUGUGAUGUUCCCUUGCUCUAUUUACGUUAUUGUUUGUUUAUGGAGAUAGUCAUGCUCAUUUAGUCAUUUACCUCUUUUGUUGACUACCACUCCAAUAGUCUUGGGAGUGGUUGAACAAACUUUUGACUGAAGUUUGUCACAACUACAUGGAACUAGAUUUCUUAGAAGGAUUUCGGGCUAUUUUGCUCAUAUUUUAGAAAACUGAUCAUGUGUGAUGGCCCAUCUGUCUUGCAAAAUAGACUUGAACUGGUCA